This 1372-nucleotide ribosomal RNA is filed under the name uncultured bacterium. RNAcentral's name for it is "bacterial SSU rRNA". It matches the Rfam family "Bacterial small subunit ribosomal RNA", at positions 28 to 1381 of the family's 1533-position model. The record is from RNAcentral.
GAUGAACGCUGGCGGCGUGCCUAAUACAUGCAAGUCGAGCGAACGGACGAGAAGCUUGCUUCUCUGAUGUUAGCGGCGGACGGGUGAGUAACACGUGGAUAACCUACCUAUAAGACUGGGAUAACUUCGGGAAACCGGAGCUAAUACCGGAUAAUAUUUUGAACCGCAUGGUUCAAAAGUGAAAGACGGUCUUGCUGUCACUUAUAGAUGGAUCCGCGCUGCAUUAGCUAGUUGGUAAGGUAACGGCUUACCAAGGCAACGAUGCAUAGCCGACCUGAGAGGGUGAUCGGCCACACUGGAACUGAGACACGGUCCAGACUCCUACGGGAGGCAGCAGUAGGGAAUCUUCCGCAAUGGGCGAAAGCCUGACGGAGCAACGCCGCGUGAGUGAUGAAGGUCUUCGGAUCGUAAAACUCUGUUAUUAGGGAAGAACAUAUGUGUAAGUAACUGUGCACAUCUUGACGGUACCUAAUCAGAAAGCCACGGCUAACUACGUGCCAGCAGCCGCGGUAAUACGUAGGUGGCAAGCGUUAUCCGGAAUUAUUGGGCGUAAAGCGCGCGUAGGCGGUUUUUUAAGUCUGAUGUGAAAGCCCACGGCUCAACCGUGGAGGGUCAUUGGAAACUGGAAAACUUGAGUGCAGAAGAGGAAAGUGGAAUUCCAUGUGUAGCGGUGAAAUGCGCAGAGAUAUGGAGGAACACCAGUGGCGAAGGCGACUUUCUGGUCUGUAACUGACGCUGAUGUGCGAAAGCGUGGGGAUCAAACAGGAUUAGAUACCCUGGUAGUCCACGCCGUAAACGAUGAGUGCUAAGUGUUAGGGGGUUUCCGCCCCUUAGUGCUGCAGCUAACGCAUUAAGCACUCCGCCUGGGGAGUACGACCGCAAGGUUGAAACUCAAAGGAAUUGACGGGGGCCCGCACAAGCGGUGGAGCAUGUGGUUUAAUUCGAAGCAACGCGAAGAACCUUACCAAAUCUUGACAUCCUUUGACAACUCUAGAGAUAGAGCCUUCCCCUUCGGGGGACAAAGUGACAGGUGGUGCAUGGUUGUCGUCAGCUCGUGUCGUGAGAUGUUGGGUUAAGUCCCGCAACGAGCGCAACCCUUAAGCUUAGUUGCCAUCAUUAAGUUGGGCACUCUAAGUUGACUGCCGGUGACAAACCGGAGGAAGGUGGGGAUGACGUCAAAUCAUCAUGCCCCUUAUGAUUUGGGCUACACACGUGCUACAAUGGACAAUACAAAGGGCAGCGAAACCGCGAGGUCAAGCAAAUCCCAUAAAGUUGUUCUCAGUUCGGAUUGUAGUCUGCAACUCGACUACAUGAAGCUGGAAUCGCUAGUAAUCGUAGAUCAGCGUGCUACGGUGAAUACGUUCCCGGGUCU